CUCGGCACUUUCUGGCCGUUUCGUAAGCGGGGAGAAGGAAGGAAAAGAGGGGAAAAAAGAAGGGAGCACGCUAGAAUCUGUGCAAAACAUCAGACCUAGGCCAUGGAUGGCGAUAAGCUCGACCAGUUGAAGCAAUUCAUCGAACAGUGCAAAGCUGAUCCAUCCAUUCUCAGCAAUCCUACGCUUUCCUUUUUCCGCGACUACUUGGAGAGUCUGGGUGCUGAUCUUCCUCCUUCUGCUUACAAGAGUGGAGAUUCGAAAUCGAAAAACUAUGUGGUGGAGGAGAGCGACGAGGAAAUGGCGGACCUCCAAGACGCGCAAGAGGAAGGGGACGACAGCGAUAUAGUCGAGUCCGAUGUUGAGCUCGAAGGCGAUACUGUUGAUCCUGAUAAUGAUCCGCCGCAAAAGAUGGGGGACCCAACAGUGGAGGUUUCGGAAGAAAAUCGUGAUGCUUCUCAAAUGGCAAAAGGGCAAGCCAUGGAAGCUAUUUCCGAAGGUAAGUUGGAGGAAGCAAUUGGGCAUCUGACUGAGGCAAUUUUGCUCAACCCAACAUCAGCAAUUAUGUAUGGAACCAGAGCUAGUGUGUACAUCAAAAUGAAGAAGCCCAAUGCCGCUAUCCGGGAUGCCAAUGCAGCUUUAGAGAUUAAUCCAGAUUCUGCUAAAGGGUACAAGUCCCGUGGCAUAGCAAGAGCAAUGCUCGGCCAGUGGGAAGAGGCGGCAAAGGAUCUCCACUUGGCGUCAAAGUUAGAUUAUGACGAGGAGAUAAGUGCUGUACUUAAGAAGGUUGAGCCUAAUGCACACAGGAUCGAGGAACACCGUAGGAAGUAUGAAAGGUUGCGCAAAGAAAAAGAGGACAAGAAGAUUGAACGUGAGAGACAACGUCGACGGGCUCAAGCUCAGGCUGCAUAUGAGAAGGCUAAGAAGCAAGAGCAGUCAUCAUCCAGUAGAACUCAUGAAGGCAUGCCGGAAGGUUUUCCUGGGGGAAUGCCGGAAGGUUUUCCUGGGGGAAUGCCAGAAGGUUUUCCUGGGGGAAUGCCUGGAGGUUUUCCUGGGGGAAUGCCUGGCGGCUUUCCUGGGGGAAUGCCAGGAGGCUUUCCUGGGGGAAUGCCAGGAGGCUUUCCUGGGGGUAUGCCUGGAGGAUCCCCUGGUGGCAUGCCAGGGGGGAUGCCUGGAAACGUUGAUUAUAGCAAAAUAUUGAAUGAUCCUGAACUGAUGGCAGCAUUCAAAGAUCCAGAAGUGAUGUCAGCUCUUCAAGAUGUGAUGAAGAAUCCUGCCAAUCUUGCAAAGCAUCAAGGAAACCCCAAGGUGGCUCCAGUAAUUGCAAAGAUGAUGGCAAAAUUUGCUGGGCCAAAGUAGACAGUUUUAACAUCCCCAUCACAUUUGAGGGAGUUCACAUUGUUCAGUUUAUCAUGCUUUACAUGAUUGGCUAUCUUAUGUACUUGUUUUUCAUCUUAUAGAGUGAAAGGAUUUAUUUUGGCUGAGGAACUUUUCUGGCUUUAAAUAUAUGGCUAAGGCUUUUCCAUUGAUGUUUCAAGAUUGGAAUUAAACGGAUUUCUCUAUGGUACCAUGGAGAAGAGUGGCACUCAAUCAAAAAUGUUCUUGUGGUUAAAAUAAGUUUCAUUUCUUUGUACUAUGCAAUGGUCGCAUUUCGUUA
This is an RNA transcript of Vitis riparia (riverbank grape), 1654 nucleotides long. It is a transcript of the gene named FAM10 family protein At4g22670, with no coding region annotated. The transcript is spliced from 12 exons. Lineage: Eukaryota; Viridiplantae; Streptophyta; Magnoliopsida; Vitales; Vitaceae. The record is from RefSeq and is a predicted model, not a curated record.